AACUCUCAACCCCCUUGUUUUGUAAUGAAACGAGUGUGGGCUUGGAUUAUGGCUGCUGCCGACAUACUUGUCGACUCGGCUGAAAUACAUGAGCUACCCAAUUUCUAAGAAAUAGACGGUUUGACUCGGCGUAAUAACAUAUUUCGCUGAGGACGUCACAUUCUUUAAACAUUAGUGGUGCUUCUAAUGCGACAUCUAGACCUAAGC
RNAcentral lists this unclassified non-coding RNA (207 nucleotides) under uncultured Rhodotorula. Its description in RNAcentral is "sequence contains ITS2". Lineage: Eukaryota; Fungi; Basidiomycota. The record is from RNAcentral.